CUCUUCCAAGCAUCGCGUCUCUGAGCAAAGAUCGGCGGAAAUAGCGUGGACGUCGUUCCCUCUUCCUACAUCCAUGUAAUCGUCGAUCAAAUUCGAAGAUAUCUUCGUGCCAGAAAAUGGAAUUCGAUGUGCGUUCGCCCACCAGUCUGGCGCCCAGAGUCUUUUCAGAAAAGCUUCAAAACGGAUGAUUUCGAGAUCUUCCGAGAGAAGAAAAUCUUUGGGUAGAGAGAAAAUUUUUGACAACAGGAGACAUUUCUCUCUUCGCCAAAUGCGAUGGGACAAUGCGAAGCUGAAAGAAUGUGUCUUCUACGUUUCCGGUGUGCAAGGAGGAAGUUAGAGAGAGAAAGAGAGAGAGAGAGAGAGAGAGAAGUUCGUCACGGAGGCUCGUAAGCAACGAUACGUGGGUAAACUUGGGGAAGACGCAUCGCACAUUUCUCUACCUAGAGGAGACAAUGGCCUUAAAAAAGUGCGGCGGCAUAAGAUAGGCACAUUCGUGAUCUACCCUGUAGAUCCGGGCUUUUGUAGAAUUGUAAAUAUCAGAAGCUCGUCUCUACAGGUAUCUUACGGAUGACAUGCCACGCGACUCUAGAUUGCAAUGCAUGGCGACGCGUUCUGUGCUUUUGAACGAUCUCACGAGAAGAUUACCUUAGAUUUAGAAACAAGUCGCCAGCUACAUACAUGUCACCCGCAAGCGAUUCAUAGCUGUUCGAACGAGAAAAUAAGCGCGAUACUGAGUCAUAGCUUAUGCGACGUUAGACAGUACAUCCUAGAUGUUACAUGAAAUAUUCUAUUAUUAAUUAGUGUAUAUUCGUUGGUAUAAGCUGUGAUGUUGACAAGCUUAGGUGUAUAAUUAUUUUUAGGUAUUAAGGUUAGAUAAGAUAGAAUAUAGU
This is a long non-coding RNA of Frieseomelitta varia, 890 nucleotides long. RefSeq lists it as uncharacterized. The transcript is spliced from 3 exons. NCBI's taxonomy places the organism in Eukaryota, Metazoa, Arthropoda, Insecta, Hymenoptera, Apidae. The record is from RefSeq and is a predicted model, not a curated record.